AUACGUAGGGGGCGAGCGUUGUCCGGAAUUAUUGGGCGUAAAGGGCGCGCAGGCGGCCGGUUAAGUCUGGUGUGAAAGACCCAUGCUCAACGUGGGAGUGGCAUUGGAAACUGGCUGGCUUGAGUGCAGGAGAGGGGAGCGGAAUUCCACGUGUAGCGGUGAAAUGCGUAGAGAUGUGGAGGAACACCGGUGGCGAAGGCGGCUCUCUGGCCUGUAACUGACGCUGAGGCGCGAAAGCGUGGGUAGCGAACAGGAUUAGAUACCCUGGUAGUCCACGCCGUAAACGAUGAGUGCUAGGUGUUAGGGGGGAGUGACCCCUUAGUGCCGAAGUUAACGCAAUAAGCACUCCGCCUGGGGAGUACGGCCGCAAGGCUGAA
Molecule: ribosomal RNA, 377 nt
Filed under: uncultured bacterium
Lineage: Bacteria
Description: bacterial SSU rRNA
Rfam family: Bacterial small subunit ribosomal RNA
Source: RNAcentral